This is a long non-coding RNA of Onychostoma macrolepis, 1046 nucleotides long. RefSeq lists it as uncharacterized. The transcript is spliced from 3 exons. Lineage: Eukaryota; Metazoa; Chordata; Actinopteri; Cypriniformes; Cyprinidae. The record is from RefSeq and is a predicted model, not a curated record.
ACUGACUGAGAAUUAAAGAGAUUACAGGAGUAAAAGUAAAUGAGAUAACUCUAAGAUAACUAAUAAGAUAAAUAUUUAGAUACGACGUAAAUAUAACUCACAGACAUGGAGAAGCAAAAGAAAAUUGAGAAAAGGCCGUACCAAGAUAAACUCGAUAAAGAUGCCAGGGACCAUUAUUUAGAGAAAUUGUUAUCCAUUCAGAACAUAGAUCCAUAUGAGCUGACUGCAGUAAGUUAGAGUGCUGACCCCGCAUUGCUACCUUCAUCCUCAUACUUAGACAUUGUUAAUUAUCUUGUUUAUGGUAUAAGCGCAUAUACCAGUGAACAAUUUAAAAACUAUAAAUCUCUGGAAGCCCACGGACAUUUCACCAAUGGCUGGGUACAGGAUUUAUUUACAUUCCGUCCAAAGGACUGCGACAACACAGUAGUAACAGCAAAGAACACACCAGCAAUUAUACCUUACAAAUGGCGGCUGCGCCCAUAAUGCACUUCGUGUUCCACGAGUGUGACGUCACCUGACAAAGACCGAUUGAUAAAGACGGCGCGAAGGAUGUGCAGCGUGGCAUCUAGAAAUACCAGUCAGGCUUCCCCAUCUGUGGGAACUUACUUUGUUCGCUAGCUGCAGGCUGGUCCUGACAAACAAUUUGCCCGCUAUUGACAUCACCAUCUUCAUCACUAUCAGCCUCAUCCUCUGGUACAUAGGUAGCAUCUCUCUCAUCAUCAUCCUCAUCCUCACUGUCAUCAGCCCUUGUCACCCUGCCCUCAUCCUGUUUGUUCCAUUGUGUUACAGAUUCUUGAAGACAGAAGCUAUUAUCUAAUAAUCUAUUAUUAUUAUCAUCUAACUCCUCAGUGUAACUGCCUGUCUGAAAGUCUGCAUCCAGUGAGGCAAACAACUGAUCCAGACGUCUGCUUCUGCUCUAGGAAUUUUUGAAGUAGUUUCCUCAUAAUGUGCUGCAAUAAAUCAUGAAUGAGAUUUUAUUAUAAUUAGUAGCCUUAUCAAGUAACCUAUUUACUUUAAUUUAUUGAAUAUUUUAAUAUGACAUACAU